This 645-nucleotide ribosomal RNA is filed under the name uncultured Bacteroidales bacterium. Its description in RNAcentral is "bacterial SSU rRNA". It matches the Rfam family "Bacterial small subunit ribosomal RNA", at positions 74 to 715 of the family's 1533-position model. Lineage: Bacteria; Pseudomonadati; Bacteroidota; Bacteroidia; Bacteroidales. The record is from RNAcentral.
AAGUAGCAAUACUUUGGUGGCGACCGGCGCACGGGUGAGUAACGCGUAUGCAACCCACUUAUCAGAGGGGAAUAACCCGGCGAAAGUCGGACUAAUACCGCAUAAAACAGGGACACCGCAUGGUGAUAUUUGUUAAAGAAAUUCGCUGAUAGAUGGGCAUGCGUUCCAUUAGGUAGUUGGUGAGGUAACGGCUCACCAAGCCGACGAUGGAUAGGGGAACUGAGAGGUUGGUCCCCCACACUGGUACUGAGACACGGACCAGACUCCUACGGGAGGCAGCAGUGAGGAAUAUUGGUCAAUGGGCGAGAGCCUGAACCAGCCAAGUCGCGUGAAGGAAGAAGGAUCUAUGGUUCGUAAACUUCUUUUGCAGGGGAAUAAAGUGCAGGACGUGUCCUGCUUUGUAUGUACCCUGAGAAUAAGGAUCGGCUAACUCCGUGCCAGCAGCCGCGGUAAUACGGAGGAUCCGAGCGUUAUCCGGAUUUAUUGGGUUUAAAGGGUGCGUAGGUGGUUUGAUAAGUCAGCGGUGAAAGUUUGCAGCUUAACUGUAAAAAUGCCGUUGAAACUGUCGGACUUGAGUGCAAAUGAGGUAGGCGGAAUGCGUGGUGUAGCGGUGAAAUGCUUAGAUAUCACGAAGAACUCCGAUUG